AAACACAGGUACUUUAUAGACGCAUAAUAUACCUUUAACAAUGUUAUUAAAUUAUAUUAUAUUAUAUUAUAUUAUAUUAUAUUAUAUUCGAGUUCAAUCGCUUUGCGCGCGUGCGCCGCUCACGCCCGUGUUAGUAAAAACGAGUGUUUUUAGUUCUUUCUCCAAUUCUUUUUUUUUUUUGCGACUCUUCGUUCGAUUGUAUCUUCGAAAGCCGGAGGUCGACGUCGUAUAAAGUCUGAGAAAAAAGGUGCAAUUAUAUUAACCUUUGAGCUAAUAAUAUCGGAAAACGCUGUGCACAUAAGAAUAUCACAAUAUUGUACGAUGAAAAAAGAAAAAAGUUUAAUGGGUCGACAUCAUUAUGACAUUAUGUACGCUUAUAUAAUUAUGAGUUAAAUAAAAAAAAAUGUUUGUAAGGUUUUCAAAAAUAAUAUCACUCGUAGGUACAAUAUAUACUUUUUAUUCUCUUUAUCUAACCCGUGUGUACUGAUAUGAAGUAUAAUUUCCGUGUUUAACUUUAACGUAAAGGAUUACCGCACCGCACAUAAAUAAUAAUUUGCAACCAUAAUUAUUAUUUAUUAUAUAUUAUUAUGUUUAUAUUAUAUGUAUCAAUGUAUCAUUAUGACAUAGAUAUAUGGUCAUAUGGAUAAAUAUAAUUAUAAUUACAAUUAAUAUAAUAAUAAUAUUAACAACUCGAUGACUGUUAAAAUAAGCAUUUAUUCUAAUAUUGAUUUUAACCGAAGACAUGACAUGCACAAUGAACUAUACGAUUCUGUUAUAUUUGUUUGCAAAUUAAGAUGUUUAAUACACCACACGUCAUGAUAAAUUAUGAUUAUUAUUGUUAUGAUGUUAUUAUGCGUAGGUACAAUCAUUCUUAUUAUCACCGUUAACACGCAGACAACGGGUUUGGAUAUCAAAUGUGUAUACACUACACAUUAUUAUAUAAAUUAUAUACAAUAUACAUAUUACAUAAUA
Long non-coding RNA from Myzus persicae (green peach aphid), 972 nucleotides. RefSeq lists it as uncharacterized. The transcript has 2 exons. Lineage: Eukaryota; Metazoa; Arthropoda; Insecta; Hemiptera; Aphididae. The record is from RefSeq and is a predicted model, not a curated record.